This is a non-coding RNA of Salvelinus sp. IW2-2015, 3817 nucleotides long. NCBI's taxonomy places the organism in Eukaryota, Metazoa, Chordata, Actinopteri, Salmoniformes, Salmonidae. The record is from RefSeq and is a predicted model, not a curated record.
UGUGUGUGUGUGUGUGUGUGUGUGUGUGUGUGUGUGUGUGUGUGUGUGUUCAGUCUGUUGGCUACAGUGAAACCACAGGUGCAGGUUCACAAAGGAAGUGGAAGUCUCACCUUCCCCUCCUGCAUUGUCCGAACAGAACACGACACACUAUUCUGAAGUACCCUCAGCGCUGGCUGAGUCUCUAAUCAUACCCUAUUCCCCAUAAAGUGCAUUACUUGGCAGAUAAAUGUUACUGUAUAGCAGGGUUCCCCAAUAGGCAGCCCCCCAAGUUUUCUGAACAAAAUUAUUUKUAUUUAUUUAUUUUUAAAUAAUGGUUGUUGUGGGACAUAAAAAAACAGUGAAAUCAGCUCAAAGUGAUUUUAAUUUAGGAAAUCUGUCAAGUAUUCCCGCGCAUGAAUGGAGAUGAUCAUAUCCCAGUGGAAUCAAGGUUUGAAAUUAUGUUUUUGUCAAAUACUAUAUCUGUUUGGGAUACAUGUGGUCAAUUUGCAGGGUACAAAUAAUUUAUAACCAUCUUCCGGCUCCCCGACCAUCCGCUCAAGAAGAAAUUGUCCCCGGCUGAAUGUAAUUGGGAACCCCUGCUGUAUAGGGCUUUGGUCAAAGACAGGGCACUAUAUGAAGAAUAGGGUCAUGUGAGAUGAAAUCCCCCCGACCCCCUUUUUCUGUUCCUAAGAACAGGACUGUCGUCAUGCUUUUGUCCAACGGUCCAAUGGAGAGCCCCCUUACUGUGGAGGGCUAACCUCUCACAUGCUCUGCAUUGGCCUAUCAGAAGGAGGGUUGUUGAUGUCAGUGCCCACCUCUUUGGAGUGUUCAGAAGGCUGAAACAUUCCAGAACGUUCAAAUGGAAAUGUAACGUAUUGCAGAGACCAUUGCUUACUAUACAUGUCCAUCUUAACUUUCUGUAAUGUUGCACUCUCCUGAACGCRACCCUGUUGUUCCCAUGACUUGCCUUAUGACUUGCAGGUAGAGCUUUAGGCAGCUAGUCCCACCYAAUGAGAAAUUGGAUGAGUAGAAUGGAAAAAGUAUAAAACCACAGACAAAAUCCACAUAGAUUUCACCCCGGUCAACACUUUGCCAUUGUUGUUUGAGUAGAAUACUGAGAAAGGCUUGGUUUCCUCAGAAAUUCCGAGUGAUAAGCAUUUUAUUCAACAUUACAACAUGGUACAUCCAAUAUGGCUGCUGGUCCACAUGUUGUGGAUCUUUGUCCAUUCUACUCAUUCUACUUCUAUCCCCCCAUCCCUUUCCAUCCUUCGAAGCUCCGCCCUCUCCAAGAUAAACCAAAGGAUGUCACGAAGCAGAGCACCACCACUCCUCUCCUUCUCUUGUCCUCUUCCCUCCUCUCGUCUCCUCCCUCCCUUGUUAGAUUGCACUAAUCCAUUACUUAAUUACAACGUCUAUGAUUGUGUUCUGAUUUAUGUUAAGCUACUAAUAUGUUAUAUUAUAACUGGGGACAAUACUGUGUAUUAUCACUGUCUGUGCGCUUAGUAGAGAAUGGAAACUAAGGCUGUGUCAUGGCAACUUUUAUCAAUGCAUAACUACUUUAUGUGUUUUACUAUUAGAGACAUCCGCCAGCAUACUAUCUAUGUGUUACUUCAGGGGUGGACGACCUUACUCCUAGCGAGCUACUGGGUAUGCAGGCUUUCUCUCCAGCCCUGCUCUAACAACUGAUUAGUAAAAGCAGGUGUGUUAGUCGGAGCAGGGCUGGAGCAAAAACCUGCAUAUUCAGUAGAUCUCCAGGAGGAGUGGUGGUCACCUCUGGUUUAUAUGUUACCUGCUAUCCAACCAACCUGUCAUAUCAUCUAAUGAAAUAAUAUGUACAAUGAAAAAUCAUUCCUGUAGAUUGUGGUUCCACACUGGUAUUAUUGUUGUUCAUCCACGCUGUCCAGGGGGGUUCAGGUGAGUUGGCAUGUUGGUGUAACUCGCUGUCCAGGGGGGUUCAGGUGAGUUGGCAUGUUGGUGUAACUCGCUGUCCAGGGGGGUUCAGGUGAGUUGGCAUGUUGGUGUAACUCGCUGUCCAGGGGGGUUCAGGUGAGUUGGCAUGUUGGUGUAACUCGCUGUGCGGAAUGACGUAAUGUGAUGUUCCAAAGGUUUGGCUUGGAAUCUCUGAAAAAUGUCCUUUUGAUACGCGUUAUUGAGAUGUGUUGGUUUUUAACCACAAUCAUUCAACAUUGCCUUGUAACCUUCUGCAGAAGUGUCUGUCCGUCACGUGUAGUCCUAGACAAGCGGCAGUGUCUGACUGAGUUAGUACUUCUUAAAACACUACCUUGGAUUGCUUUCUUACUGUGCAAAUGUUCUAUUGCUGGACUUUGUGCCUAAUCUGCAAAGUUUUGAAUAAUACCCAAAAGCCAUCUGAAACAUUUUCCAUUUUAACAGUUUGAAUCAUACCCCAAAAUAGCGACUAAACAAAGCUUGUAUCGGAUAAAUCAUAUAAAGGUUUAAAUUUAAAUAUUAUCAAUAGGUAUUUUGUUGCUAGUGGUGCCCAGAUUCUUUGAAAAAAAUAUAUAUAUUCUCCUACUUUACAAUUUUUCCUUAUCAAAAAUAUUUUAUUAUGUCAAUUUCUUAAGAUGGCAUAUGCAAUAUAUUUUUCAGAGGGACUAUUUUUGACAAAUGUAUGUGUAAAUCGAGGAAGUAAAACUUUUUCAUUUUAUUUUAGCUUAGUUUUGAAUUUGAAUCACAAGUCAUAAAUUGAGAUUUGACCAAAAACCUGGAAGACGAGAAAUGGGAAGGGUUAGGUUAUGUUUUGGUUAAUUUCUGACUAUAAGGGUUGGUGCAAGAUCUGAGGUCCCUACCUAAAAGAUGUUGGUUAYACUUUAUUUUACAGUCCAGUAUUCACUUGGGCCCAGAUUCACAAAACACUUCAUAAGAUUGUCGUAAGUGCAAUUCCUCCACAAUAUCUUAAGAUUUAAUGAUUUUCUUACGAACUUCUCAAAUAUCUUCUUACAAAUCAUCUUAAAAUGUUUGUUGCAAGGAAACCGUUUUAACUAGCUAUCGAGCUUGUAUGCCAAUCAUGUUAGCAUAUUUCUUCCUGAGAUUACUGUUCUAAAACAUGUUUUKGGGUUUAAAAUAAUACGUUUGUGAGUGAAUUAAACAUUUUCAAUUGCUUUCAUGAGCUUUUUCUCUCACUGCCCUGAGUUUAAGACAAGGGUUUGGCUAUCUUUAGAAUUAACAUUUCCAAUAAUUUUAUUUAAGAAUCUAAUUUCUUAACUUUUUACUUAAGGAGAAACAUAAGAMAUUGUGCAAGAACCUUUUUGAGGAAUAGCAACUUGGCAUAACUUUCUUCUUAAGUCUAUAGUUAAGGAAAAAGUGUCAGUUAAGAAGAAAUGUCUUCUUUAAAAAGGUUUUGUGAAUCUGGGCCCUGGUAUUUACUUUAAAUUUGCAUGGUUAAAUGGCAGUUAGUUACCUAAUAUUUACUUAGUAAUUACAUUUUAGUUUCUUAAAGAUUCAUUGGAAAAAGUAUAACUUGGUACCAAGUAGUUACCAACCUGAGUUGAAUUCUUUGAAAUAAUAACCAGAAGGCAGAAGUGCCAUUUGAGACGUGACCUACUCUGUACUCUGCUGUGGUGUUACCACUUAAUAUCUUUCUGAAUACUAUAUAAAUACCAGCUAAAAGAGGACUGUAAAUAGAGUUUUAUGAAAUUAUUAAGUGUACAUAUUUGAACCCUGACUCUGUGACCCCUGACCCUCUGUAGACAGCAAUUGCACAGUGCAGUAGUAGUAUUUUUUUGCAAGACCUGUAGCUGAUGAUUAUAUUUAAAAAUGAAUACAUAAAUAUUUAAAUGGAGUAAACCAAUACAAUAUAUAAAGAUUUCAAUUUAACUUA